RNAcentral lists this long non-coding RNA (224 nucleotides) under Lathyrus oleraceus (garden pea). RNAcentral describes it as "Pisum sativum (pea) long non-coding RNA (PSAT_LNC026667)". The record is from RNAcentral. Lineage: Eukaryota; Viridiplantae; Streptophyta; Magnoliopsida; Fabales; Fabaceae.
AGCAAGGAGUUGGGAGGAAAACUAAUGAUCUGUGAGUUAUAACAGAAUUGGGAAAUAGUGGAUGCCGUGUUCACAUUGCCAUUAGGAUAGAUCUUUCCUUUUGUGCGCAAUUACCUCUUUCUAGGAAUUGCCUCCCAAUGUAUUUGCCUUUUCAGGCGCAUUUUCAAUCAAUAAAAGUCGUUAUUCAGAUAAAUGGCUCUUUUGUUUUUAUUUUUACUGUUUUG